Molecule: ribosomal RNA, 371 nt
Filed under: uncultured organism
Description: bacterial SSU rRNA
Rfam family: Bacterial small subunit ribosomal RNA
Source: RNAcentral
CGUAGGGUGCAAGCGUUAAUCGGAAUUACUGGGCGUAAAGCGUACGCAGGCGGCUUUGCAAGACAGGUGUGAAAUCCCCGGGCCUAACCUGGGAACUGCAUUUGUGACUGCAUGGCUAGAGUUUGUCAGAGGGGGGUGGAAUUCCACGUGUAGCAGUGAAAUGCGUAGAUAUGUGGAGGAACACCGAUGGCGAAGGCAGCCCCCUGGGAUGUGACUGACGCUCAUGUACGAAAGCGUGGGGAGCAAACAGGAUUAGAUACCCUGGUAGUCCACGCCCUAAACGAUGUCGACUAGUUGUCGGAGGGUAACUCCUUCGGUAACGCAGCUAACGCGUGAAGUCGACCGCCUGGGGAGUACGGUCGCAAGAUUAA